This is a long non-coding RNA of Pecten maximus, 1200 nucleotides long. RefSeq lists it as uncharacterized. Lineage: Eukaryota; Metazoa; Mollusca; Bivalvia; Pectinida; Pectinidae. The transcript is spliced from 2 exons. The record is from RefSeq and is a predicted model, not a curated record.
ACCAUGUCCUUGGCCCAGGUAUAUCAUACAAUUAACUAUAUAUGUCCCUGGCCCAGGUAUAUCAGAUUGUUAAUUAUGUCCCUGGUCCAGGUAUAUCAGAUUGUUAACUAUGUCCCUGGCCCAGGUAUAUCAGAUUGUUAACUAUGUCCCUGGCCCAGGUAUAUCAGAUUGUUUACUAUGUCCCUGGCCCAGGUAUAUCAGAUUGUUAACUAUGUCCCUGGCCCGGGUAUGUCAGACCAUUAACUAUAUAUGUCCCUAGCCCAGAUAUAUCAGACAAUUAGCUAUGCUAUUAUGUUAAAGGAGUUUGUUUCAUGAGUAAAUUAAUUAUCCCAAAGCCGAUCAUAUUUUAACAAAUAUAAAUAAGUCUAGGAUUGUAUACCCCUAUAUUGUAUCUAGUAACAACAUCUACACAGUAAACUCUUUACUACAGUACAUACUAUACAAACAUAGAAAGGUAUCAAAAAUGUAAAAUACACUGGAUAUAUUGGCACAAAACAUCAAUGUUUUUCUUCUGAAUCUUAAUAGAACAAGUUCAUCAGAAAUCUCAUUCUAAACAGAUGUAAUCUAGCCUUGAUUUGACAUGUGUCCAACGUAAUUCAUGGUGAAUGUUUUUGUAGCUGCUCUACAGAGUAUGUUUCACAGGUGACAAAAGGAUUUUAAAUAAACAACAAGAGUAUAGCAGAGGACAAUGUACCUAUUUUUAUAUGAAAAGCAAAUCACAUAAAAAAGUUAUCAAAUAUAUGUUGAUAGUACUUACUAUACGGAAGAAAUCUGUAUGGUAACAAGGCUUUGGAUGCAUUGUUACAUAAUUAUAUUUCUGUCGAGAAAAAAAAUAUAUCAAUUUCAUUUUACACUGGGUGAAAGUUAUGUAUCACUUUUAGCAGAUUGAUUGAACUGUGAACUGUUUUUUUCACUUUCAAUAAUGUAAUAAUUUCUCAGCAUUUUUAUGGAGGAGUUCAAUCCCAACAUUGAUUUCAAUAAAUGAAGUACAUGUAGAUACAUCAUAUCAUCCAAUCCAUAUUUAUGGUACAUAUAUCUAUAAGCAAAAAUUUAUCUCAAAAUGUCACAUUCUGUAAAUUACAAAUGAUAACAAUAUUGUUAAAAAGGGACCAACAUGAAAUUAUAAAUUACAACCCUGUAAUAACUUUCAGUAUAUCAAUAUUUAUAAGUAAUAAUAGACAAGUUAACAAAAAAAAAAGA